GGAGAUUUUGUUCAAGCCAUGGAUCACCUCUGGUUCGUGUUUGGUGGUGGAGGGAAGAUCUUAAUUACUAACCCUACGCAUUUCUCUUUUUUUCUUUCUUUCUUUUUUUUUUUUUUUCUGGUUUUGCUUUUGGCUGUCAGCUAAGUAGAGGAAGGGAAUGAAGACAUUUGGAGAAGAAGCGUUUACUGAAAGGAGAUUCCUGGGCUGGAGGAAAACCAUGAUCUACAGUUCAUGUUGACAGAUAUUGUAUUUUUGGUCCUAGAUCUGACUUUUGAAAUGACUUAUCACAAAUUCAAAUUUAGCAAUCAUGAGUGAAGUACCCACGAUGUGCUAAGCAUCUACCUCUGCAGAUAGAAGAACACUUACUGUUCCUGAGCAUGGGAGGGAAUAGAAGUUCCUGGGUCCUGGCCUCACCUCAUCAGGCACUGCCAAAUUUGACACCUCCUUCCUGUUCACGGCAGUCCUUUGCGAUAGGGUAUUAGAUGCCACCAAGUAGCUGCAUAACUCACCCAUUUGGUCAGAGCCUGGGUCUAAGCCAGGUCUGACAGACUCCAAAGCAAGCCCUGUUUACAGCAUGACUGGGAUCCAGUGGACGAGGGAACUGAGCUGUCAAAACUAAGUGACUUGAUUGAGGCCAUGCAGCUGGCGAGGGGAGGACCAGGAUCUGAACCCAACUGGGUCUCCCAAGCCUGGGCCACUGAACCAUUUCACCUCUUGGAAAAACUUAAUGGUCAGAGUGGCCCACCCAGUCCAUGGACAGCAUGGAGGAUAAACUGCUUCCCUAGAAAUCCUCUCCAGCAUUCUUGCCACCACGACUUUGGGACACAUUGACCAUGAGGAGGAGCUGGUCAAUGAUGGACAGGAGUCCAGAUUAGCAGAGAUGUGGUAAUAAGGACACCGAUGCCUAAAUACUUGAAAUAUCCAAUAGGAAGCAUUCCACCUUUGUGCAAAUGCGAACCACAUCUCACCAAGUUCAGGCCAAGGCUGCCACCGGUGACGUUUUGGAAAAGAAAAAAAAAAGCGGGGGGAGAGGAGAGAAACAGAGAAGCAAGGAAUGCAGAAGAGAGCAGAGGCCACAAAAACAGCAGCAACGUGUCCUGUGUAUUCUGUUUCCUUGUAAAACUAUGAAGCAUGUUAAGGAGAUACUUCAUUUUUUGAGGAUUCAUACUCUUGUUUAUAUUAUAAUAAAAACAACCCAUGUUCUUUCUAAAAAUUUAGGCAAUGCCUUCGUGCACAUAAAAGUAAAACAAAAUCACCUGUAAUCCUACCACACGCAGAUCAGCACUUGCUAAUCUUUUCACAGGGAUCCUAAGAAUAUCCUAUUCUCUAUAGAAUAUAGUUGAUUUAUGUUACCUAAUAACUAACUGUUAACCAUUUUAAAAUUCUUCAGUUUUACAUUAUGCUAGAAAAAAGGAGCCGUCACUCUACGUGACAUUUCUGUAUAUUGGUUUAUUCAUUCAAUAAACAUUUUUUAAGU
RNAcentral lists this long non-coding RNA (1477 nucleotides) under Homo sapiens (human). RNAcentral's name for it is "long intergenic non-protein coding RNA 1102". Lineage: Eukaryota; Metazoa; Chordata; Mammalia; Primates; Hominidae. The record is from RNAcentral.